Molecule: ribosomal RNA, 700 nt
Filed under: Bacillus subtilis
Lineage: Bacteria; Bacillati; Bacillota; Bacilli; Caryophanales; Bacillaceae
Description: bacterial SSU rRNA
Rfam family: Bacterial small subunit ribosomal RNA
Source: RNAcentral
AGAUGGGAGCUUGCUCCCUGAUGUUAGCGGCGGACGGGUGAGUAACACGUGGGUAACCUGCCUGUAAGACUGGGAUAACUCCGGGAAACCGGGGCUAAUACCGGAUGGUUGUUUGAACCGCAUGGUUCAAACAUAAAAGGUGGCUUCGGCUACCACUUACAGAUGGACCCGCGGCGCAUUAGCUAGUUGGUGAGGUAACGGCUCACCAAGGCAACGAUGCGUAGCCGACCUGAGAGGGUGAUCGGCCACACUGGGACUGAGACACGGCCCAGACUCCUACGGGAGGCAGCAGUAGGGAAUCUUCCGCAAUGGACGAAAGUCUGACGGAGCAACGCCGCGUGAGUGAUGAAGGUUUUCGGAUCGUAAAGCUCUGUUGUUAGGGAAGAACAAGUACCGUUCGAAUAGGGCGGUACCUUGACGGUACCUAACCAGAAAGCCACGGCUAACUACGUGCCAGCAGCCGCGGUAAUACGUAGGUGGCAAGCGUUGUCCGGAAUUAUUGGGCGUAAAGGGCUCGCAGGCGGUUUCUUAAGUCUGAUGUGAAAGCCCCCGGCUCAACCGGGGAGGGUCAUUGGAAACUGGGGAACUUGAGUGCAGAAGAGGAGAGUGGAAUUCCACGUGUAGCGGUGAAAUGCGUAGAGAUGUGGAGGAACACCAGUGGCGAAGGCGACUCUCUGGUCUGUAACUGACGCUGAGGAGC